UGGCAUGGCUGUCAAGAAAACAAGAACCCCUGCAGAUGUGAUUGCACAUUUAUUAUAUUUCACUGGUUCACUGGUCAGCAGACUUGUUAUCUAAAGUUACUUUAAGUGCAGAGUUUUCGAGAGACCAUGUUUUUUUUACAAAUUUUGCGGAAAUAAUUUAGCAAGUAAUUGAUUUCCGCCGGCGAGGGCGGAAUCUUUAAAAUCGCCUGGGGAGAUAGAGAGAUAGAUAGAUAGAGACAGCCCAGAGCCUGGACGCCUAAAACUUUCCAGGCUAAAGCCUAAAUUCUCGUUUUGACACAUUUAGUUCUAAGAACGAGGCUAUAUUGCGUUUUAAACCAAUAGAAAUAUAUAUACAAAGGGUAAUUCCCUCCCACCCAGGGAAUUUAUUUAGGUAGCCAGAAAGUUUCAUGUUGGUGAAAAGCAGUUUGCUGAUUGAAUUGAUUUAUUGCUAACUAGCUAUAUAUUUGAUACUGUGAAUACCCAAAUUCUGAAACAUUACUAAAUUUAGCAAGCUUAAGAAGUGGACAUGCCAUAGCUUUCAGAACCAGAGAAUAAUGUGAUGUGAGUGCUAAUAAGCUGCAUAUACCGUAAAAAGUGCAGGGAACCAGCCCCAAAUUGUUCUAUGAUACAAAACAUGUUGGCACGAUUUCAUUGAACUAAUUUUGACCCAACAAUUCACAAUUUCAAGCGUCAUUCAAACGUGAUUUGCAUGUGAAGAUUUGUUGACAGAAGCGGUUAAAAAAAAGAUGGAACAAUGAUGAAACAGAAGAGUUUGCUGAUUUGCUCGAUUACCACUUUUUGUUGGAUGCGUUUGAAAUAAGAAUAUAUUCGUUAAAUACAGAUUAUGAAUUGAAAUAAAAAAUACUUGUGAUAGCCUAAUUUGUAAAGUAUUUUUAUAUAAUUCAGAUUGACUUUCGUGGUAAAAAAUCUCACGAUUAGGGAUUGGUCUAGGCUGAAAUGUCUAAAAAUGUGUAAAUUGUUAUCUUUUUCGUUUAACAUAUAUAUAACUGUACAAUUUUUUUUCAUUUGCAAUCAGUUGCUAGUCUAACAACAACAACAACAAUAAUGAUAAAUAUUUAAAGUGUUUCUAGCCCAGAAAUUCACAAUAACCUAUUGUUAGUGGAUUAUUUCCAUUGGGGUCCACUGAGUCUGAGUGAAGCUAGCUUUCUCACAUUUACGUUUAGUUUUAGCAGGCUUCUAGAAAACUAAUCAAGACCAACGUUGGAGGUAGCUAAGGUUACAGAUCAGAUGAAUUAUUAUUUUCCUUUUAAAAUUUAAUUUUAGAAGUAUAAUAUCGUUGUUCUUUGUUUAU
This is a long non-coding RNA of Hydractinia symbiolongicarpus, 1312 nucleotides long. RefSeq lists it as uncharacterized. The record is from RefSeq and is a predicted model, not a curated record. The transcript is spliced from 2 exons. Lineage: Eukaryota; Metazoa; Cnidaria; Hydrozoa; Anthoathecata; Hydractiniidae.